This 550-nucleotide ribosomal RNA is filed under the name Carinodrillia quadrilirata. RNAcentral's name for it is "Crassispira quadrilirata partial 12S ribosomal RNA". The record is from RNAcentral. Lineage: Eukaryota; Metazoa; Mollusca; Gastropoda; Neogastropoda; Pseudomelatomidae.
CACUAAGAAAUUAAGUCAUAUGUUAAAAGGUAAAAAGAUAGUUAAAUUUGCAAGCAAAUUACAUAAAUUUUUGUAUAGAGGUAGAAUUUAAGUACAAUAUUAUUAAUCUAAUUGUAAUUUUUAUAUUGAAGCUAUGAAAACCUUGAGGGAAACUGGGAUUUGAUACCCCAUUAUUCUUGGCUAUAAAAUAGAUAUAUAUAAUACUUACCAGAGAACUAUGAAUAUCAUAAAGUUUAAAACUCAAAGGGCUUGGCGGUGUUUUAGACCACUCAGGGGAACCUGUCUCAUAAUCGAUAAUCCACGUUAAACCUGACCUUUUUUUGUAUUCAGCUUGUAUACCGUUGUCAUCAGGUAACUUUUUAGAAUAUAAGAGUUAGCUACAAACCACAUAAGUUAAAACGUCAAAUCAAGGUGCAGCUCAUAAGAAGGGGAGGAUGGGUUACAAUUAUAAAAUCAUAAUACGGAAGACUAUAAGAACUUACAGUUCUAAAGGAGGACUUGAAAGUAAAGUAAGUUAUAUAAAUAAAUUGAAUAAGGCUCUGAAAUGUGC